This is a non-coding RNA of Ilex paraguariensis (yerba mate), 72 nucleotides long. The record is from the annotation of a GenBank genome assembly. NCBI's taxonomy places the organism in Eukaryota, Viridiplantae, Streptophyta, Magnoliopsida, Aquifoliales, Aquifoliaceae.
GUUGUUGUAGUAUAGUGGUGAGUAUUCCCAUCUCUCACACGGGUGACCCGAGUUCAAUCCUCAGCAACGGUG